GGUGKUUAGAUUUAAUAUUAAACAUCCAGCCUGCCCUAUGAUUUAUAAUUAAAUGGCCGCGGUAUUUUGACCGUGCGAAGGUAGCAUAAUCAAUUGUCUAUUAAUUGUAGACUUGUAUGAAUGGUUAGAUAUAUUUUUUCUAUUUUAAAUAAUUAUUAUGAAUUUAUGAUUUUAUUAAAAAUAAUAAAAUGKGAGUUUGGGACGAGAAGACCCUAUUGAGCUUUAUAUUAUAUUUAAAUUGAUAAGAUUGGGUUUUAUAAUUUUUUUAUAUUAUUCUACUGGGGCGGUAUUUUAUGAAAAACAUAAAUAAUUAUUUAUUAUAAAGAUCCAUUAGAGAUGUGAUUUGAUGAUUAAGUUACUGUAGGGAUAACAGCGUUAUGUAAUUUGAGAGUUCUUAUUGAUGAUUAUGUUUGCGACCUCGAUGUUGAUUUAAGAUUCCCUAAAGAGGUAGAAAGUUUAUAGGGUGGUUUGUUCAACCAUUAAAUUCUUAUG
This 492-nucleotide ribosomal RNA is filed under the name Cryptops niuensis. RNAcentral's name for it is "partial 16S ribosomal RNA". It matches the Rfam family "Bacterial large subunit ribosomal RNA", at positions 1829 to 2600 of the family's 2925-position model. The record is from RNAcentral. Lineage: Eukaryota; Metazoa; Arthropoda; Chilopoda; Scolopendromorpha; Cryptopidae.